RNAcentral lists this ribosomal RNA (269 nucleotides) under uncultured soil bacterium. Its description in RNAcentral is "partial 16S ribosomal RNA". It matches the Rfam family "Bacterial small subunit ribosomal RNA", at positions 26 to 281 of the family's 1533-position model. The record is from RNAcentral.
AGAAUCAACGCUGGCGGCGUGCCUAACACAUGCAAGUCGUACGCGAAAGGGGAGCAAUCCCUGAGUAGAGUGGCAAACGGGUGAGUAACACGUGGGUGACCUGCCUCAGAGUGGGGGAUAACGUCCCGAAAGGGACGCUAAUACCGCAUAACAUCCUGCCCUUGGAAGGGUGGAGAUCAAAGCCGGGGAUCGCAAGACCUGGCGCUUGGAGAGGGGCCCGCGUCUGAUUAGCUAGUUGGUAGGGUAAUGGCCUACCGAAGGCGACGAUC